RNAcentral lists this ribosomal RNA (497 nucleotides) under uncultured bacterium. RNAcentral's name for it is "partial 16S ribosomal RNA". It matches the Rfam family "Bacterial small subunit ribosomal RNA", at positions 28 to 507 of the family's 1533-position model. The record is from RNAcentral.
GAUGAACGCUGGCGGCGUGCCUAAUACAUGCAAGUCGAGCGAACAGACGAGGAGCUUGCUCCUUUGACGUUAGCGGCGGACGGGUGAGUAACACGUGGAUAACCUACCUAUAAGACUGGGAUAACUUCGGGAAACCGGAGCUAAUACCGGAUAACAUGUUGAACCGCAUGGUUCAACAGUGAAAGACGGUCUUGCUGUCACUUAUAGAUGGAUCCGCGCCGCAUUAGCUAGUUGGUAAGGUAACGGCUUACCAAGGCAACGAUGCGUAGCCGACCUGAGAGGGUGAUCGGCCACACUGGAACUGAGACACGGUCCAGACUCCUACGGGAGGCAGCAGUAGGGAAUCUUCCGCAAUGGGCGAAAGCCUGGCGGAGCAACGCCGCGUGAGUGAAGAAGGUCCUCGGAUCGUAAAACUCUGUUAUUAGGGAAGAACAAAUGUGUAAGUAACUAUGCACGUCUUGACGGUACCUAAUCAGAAAGCCACGGCUAACUACGUG